Molecule: ribosomal RNA, 445 nt
Filed under: uncultured bacterium
Lineage: Bacteria
Description: bacterial SSU rRNA
Rfam family: Bacterial small subunit ribosomal RNA
Source: RNAcentral
GUGAGGAAUAUUGGACAAUGGGCGCAAGCCUGAUCCAGCCAUGCCGCGUGCAGGAUGAAGCAUCUAUGGUGUGUAAACUGCUUUUAUACGGGAAGAAACCCCGCCUCGUGAGGCGGACUGACGGUACCGUAAGAAUAAGGACCGGCUAACUCCGUGCCAGCAGCCGCGGUAAUACGGAGGGUCCAAGCGUUAUCCGGAAUCAUUGGGUUUAAAGGGUCCGUAGGCGGCCCGAUAAGUCAGUGGUGAAAUCUCCCGGCUCAACCGGGAAAUGGCCAUUGAUACUGUCGGGCUUGAAUUAUUAGGAAGUAACUAGAAUAUGUAGUGUAGCGGUGAAAUGCUUAGAUAUUACAUGGAAUACCGAUUGCGAAGGCAGGUUACUACUAAUAUAUUGACGCUGAUGGACGAAAGCGUGGGUAGCGAACAGGAUUAGAUACCCGUGUAGUCC